This 423-nucleotide transfer-messenger RNA is filed under the name Mesoplasma lactucae ATCC 49193. It matches the Rfam family "transfer-messenger RNA". Rfam says of the family: Bacterial tmRNA, also known as 10Sa RNA or SsrA, is named for its dual tRNA and mRNA-like properties. The record is from Rfam by way of RNAcentral. Lineage: Bacteria; Bacillati; Mycoplasmatota; Mollicutes; Entomoplasmatales; Entomoplasmataceae. RNAcentral also lists the same sequence under 1 other name.
GGGGAUGUCAUGGGUUCGACAUGGCAUACUUAGUCUAUGAUUGCAGUGGUCUGGUAAACCUUAAUACUACUAGGUUUGACAAAAUGCAAACAAAAACGAAAAAAACGAAGAAUUCGCAAUGCCAGCUUUCAUGAUGAACAAUCAAUUCGCUGGUGCACAAUUAGCUGCUUAAUAUAAAAUAAAACUACAAAGUUUUAAGUAAUUCGAUCUAAAACAUUUAAGUAGAUUUUAAUGUUCUAGAUUUUACCCAAAUCUACUAGAAACUAUGAUUGUAAUAAAUAGUUUUGAAAUUUAAUUACAAACGAUUCUUAAAUCCUUCGUUGGUUUCAAUUUAUUAAUCGUAUGUUAGGAAACUAACUAAACUUGUAGAAGUUAUAGACUGAGAUACUGUGGACGCGGGUUCGAUUCCCGCCAUCUCCACCA